CCUACGGGUGGCUGCAGUCGAGAAUCAUUCACAAUGGGGGAAACCCUGAUGGUGCGACGCCGCGUGGGGGAAUGAAGGUCUUCGGAUUGUAAACCCCUGUCAUGUGGGAGCAAAUUAAAAAGAUAGUACCACAAGAGGAAGAGACGGCUAACUCUGUGCCAGCAGCCGCGGUAAUACAGAGGGCUCAAGCUUUGUACGGAAUCACUGGGCGUAAAGGGUGCGUAGGCUGUUUCGUAAGUCGGGUGUGAAAGGCGCGGGCUCAACCCGCGGACGGCACAUGAUACUGCGAGACUAGAGUAUUGGAGGGGGAACCGGAAUUCUCGGUGUAGCAGUGAAAUGCGUAGAUAUCGAGAGGAACACUCGUGGCGAAGGCGGGUUCCUGGACAUUAACUGACGCUGAGGCACGAAGGCCAGGGGAGCAAACAGGAUUAGAUACCCUUGUAGUC
Molecule: ribosomal RNA, 446 nt
Filed under: uncultured bacterium
Lineage: Bacteria
Description: partial 16S ribosomal RNA
Rfam family: Bacterial small subunit ribosomal RNA
Source: RNAcentral